UAAUUAAUUAAUGUAUACCCAAUCUACUAAUCUUACCAUCUUCUUCUCAUUCACUUGUAACCCAUUGUUUUUGCACUCCUUUCUACAUGAUAAUGGCAUCAACUACAUUGAUCACCAAGUUUGCUCACUUACAAAUCCCACUUGAAGACGUACUAAACGCCACCAACAACUUUCAUCAUGAUAAUAUCAUCGGACGCGGUGGAUUGGGACAUGUAUACAAAGGACACCUCCAGCGGUCCAGGGAGUUGAUCAAGAUUUCUGCGCUGAGGUUAGAUCGUAAGCACGGUGGAGGAGUCGUCGAGUUCUGGACAGAAGUUUCAAUGCUUUCUGAUCUCAAGCAUCCAAAUAUAGUCUCUAUGGUUGGAUUUUGCGAUGAGAAAGAUGAGAAGAUCAUUGUAACCAUGUAUGAGGCCAAAAAUGGAAGUCUAAAGGAGCAUCUAAACAGCCCGAACCUCACAUGGACGCAAAGAUUGAAGAUAUGUGUAGGCGUGGCUCGUGCGUUGAGUUACCUCCAUUUUGACCAGAGACGUGGUUAUGGUGUUAUACAUCUUAACAUCAACAGCUCCACAAUUUUAUUAGACGAGAACUGGGAACCCAAGUUAUCCGGUUUUAAAGUUUCCAUCAAAGAAUCACUUAACCGAAUGGACCAGGUCAUUCUUUCUGAACCUACUGGCACAAUAGGGUAUAUGGACCCAGAAAUUGAAAAGACGAAAGGGGUGACCCACAAGUCGGACAUCUACGCAUUUGGUGUGGUUUUAUUUGAAAUAUUGUGUGGGAGGAGAGCGUAUAUUAAGACAGGGGGGAAUAAGUAUCUAGCUGCAUUGGCCAAGUAUCAUUAUGAAAACCAAACACUUCCAGAUAUAAUCCACCCCUAUCUAAAGAAUCAAAUGUCUAAAAAUCAAAUAUCCUUAAGUUCACUCAGAAAAUGCUCAAAAACGGCAUAUUCUUGCUUAAAGGAAGAUCGAGCACAUCGCCCACACAUGCUCAGUGUUGUUGAUGAACUUCAAAAAGCAUUUGAGAAAGCAUUAAACUUUAAGCCGCGACCUGAAAAUUUUUUAAACAACUUGGAACACUUGAAGAUUCAGCUCGAUGACAUAAAGUUAGCCACCAAUAACUUUUCAGACACAUACAAAGAUUCUGAUAGCGAUGAUUACGAUGCUAGGUACACAGUAGAACUCAACCAUUUUGAUAACGGAAAACCUUCCUUUGUAGAAGAGAAGGGUAAAACUACACAACCCAAGAUACACAACACUGUACUAAUAAAACGCUUCCUUCCUCGAGAUGACGAGGACGAAGAAGAAUUAUUUUUUAGAGAACUUGAAGUGCUUAUUACCGUUAAGCAUCCCAACAUAGUCACUCUAAUAGGAUUUUGUGUUGAAGGUUUUGAAAUGAUGCUUAUCGUGGAAAAAUUUGCUAAUGGAUUCCUUAUGGAUUAUUUAGGAAACGUGUGUACGUUGACUUGGGAAACACGUUUAAAAAUAUGCAUUGAUGUUGCUCAUGCAUUGAGUUACAUUCACUCUGGGAUGGAAGACAAAAAAAUGAUAAUACGUGGAUCCAGAAUAUGUGAAUACUGGUAAGCUAAAAAGAGAGUCGGAUGGACGAGAACUGGCGGACAAAGAUUGAGGAUUUUGAGUGGGCAGUAAUCUUGCCCCCCAAUAUAAAAGAUGAAACUCCGUAUAAAAGAACAUAUUUUGAGUCAAAGUAUCACGUGGAUCCAGAAUAUGUGAAUACUGGUAAGCUAAAAAGAGAGUCGGAUGUGUAUAGCUUUGGUGUAGUUUUGCUUGAGAUUAUAUGUGGAAGAGUGGCUGAUGACCAUAUUUACCUUAAGGAGAGUGACAAAGGGCUUGUUCAUGUGGCUAGAAAAAACUUCCGCAAUGGAACAAUAGAAGGCAUGAUAGAUCCUACACUAAAGGAAGAAACCGAUAAAAAGAGUUGUAUUCCAAAUAGAGGAGCCAACAAGGAUUCUUUGCACAAAUUUCUAAAAGUUGCAAAUCAGUGUGUGUCAGAGACUCAAGACCAACGCCCAACAAUUAAAGCUGUUCUCAAUGAACUUGAGAAAGCAUUGGUCUUUCAGGAGGAGCAAGUGCAACAAUUGGGUAAGGAUCAAGUUGUCGACAAACUUGAGAAAGCAAGGCAUGAAAUUCCUGAGGAGCAAGUAAAACAAUUGGGUACGGAUCAAGUUGUCGACAAACUUGAGAAAGCAAGGCAUGAAAUUCCUGUAAGACACUAAGACCUUUCUAUUUUUUUUUACUUCAUUUUUUUGUUAGUGAAAUGUUUAUAAAAGAUGAAAUCUAUAAAUUGAAAUGCAUUAGAUAAAAUUUGAAUAUGAUAAAUUUGGAACAA
This is an RNA transcript of Helianthus annuus (common sunflower), 2343 nucleotides long. It is a transcript of the gene named serine/threonine-protein kinase CDG1, with no coding region annotated. NCBI's taxonomy places the organism in Eukaryota, Viridiplantae, Streptophyta, Magnoliopsida, Asterales, Asteraceae. The record is from RefSeq and is a predicted model, not a curated record. The transcript is spliced from 4 exons.